UACGAAGGGGGCAAGCGUUGUUCGGAAUUACUGCGCGUAAAGGGCGCGUAGGCGGCUUAUCAAGUCAGGCGUGAAAUUCCCGGGCUCAACCUGGGGGCUGCGCUUGAUACUGAUGAGCUUGAAUGCGGGAGAGGAUAGUGGAAUUCCCAGUGUAGAGGUGAAAUUCGUAGAUAUUGGGAAGAACACCGGUGGCGAAGGCGGCUAUCUGGCCCGUAAUUGACGCUGAGGCGCGAAAGCGUGGGGAGCAAACAGG
This 253-nucleotide ribosomal RNA is filed under the name uncultured bacterium. RNAcentral describes it as "partial 16S ribosomal RNA". It matches the Rfam family "Bacterial small subunit ribosomal RNA", at positions 524 to 776 of the family's 1533-position model. The record is from RNAcentral.